This 627-nucleotide non-coding RNA is filed under the name Pan troglodytes (chimpanzee). Lineage: Eukaryota; Metazoa; Chordata; Mammalia; Primates; Hominidae. The record is from RNAcentral.
AUGAAGAUCCGGCGCAGCUAAAGUCAGUGGAAGGUAGAAAGACGCCACAGCCGCCUUUCGACAACUUUUUGUUACAAAAGUGGAGAUCUACACGGAGGCGACGGCCUAGGUCGCUCUGACAGGACCCAACGACCCUCCUGACGCGUCCACCCGUCCUCGCUAGCAGGGUCCCCCAGCGGGCUCUCGACCUGCGCCACCAGAGUUUCACUCUUUUUGUCGACAAUAAUAUGGCGCCCAAACACGUGGGGCCUCAGAGAAGACUCUGGAUCCGGAAGGAGUAUCCCAAAACCAGAGCUAAGUUACCAGCUGGAGCCCACUGAAGCCUCACCGAGUUUGGGCUUCUCCUCCUAUGGAACUGGAUACCAAAAUCAUGGUAUUUUGAAAACCAGAGGUAUGAAUCUCCCUCGUUUGACAUCCCACUGGGCCUGGACCUGUUUCACUGCUAAUGUUCUGCUGCCAAAACUAUACAAGCUGCCUGGACUAUUGCAGAAGAGAGACAGGGUCUUGCUCUGUUGCCCAGACUGGAAUGCAGUAGCACAAUCCUAACUCAUCGUAACCUUGAACUCCUGGGUUCAAGCGAUCCUCCUGCCUCAGCCUCCUCAGUAUAGGACUACAGGCGUGCCCAGG